RNAcentral lists this ribosomal RNA (119 nucleotides) under Pteropus alecto (black flying fox). The record is from RNAcentral. Lineage: Eukaryota; Metazoa; Chordata; Mammalia; Chiroptera; Pteropodidae.
GUCUGUGGCCAUGCCACCCUGAACAAGCCCGAUCCCGUCUGAUCUCAGAAGCUAAGCAGGGUCGGGCCUGGUUAGUACUUGAAUGGGAGACCACCAGGGAAGACCAGGUGCUGUAGGUG